GAUGAAGAACGUAGCGAAAUGCGAUAAGUAAUGUGAAUUGCAGAAUUCAGUGAAUCAUCGAAUCUUUGAACGCAUCUUGCGCUCCUUGGUAUUCUGAGGAGCAUGCCUGUUUGAGUGUCAUUAAAUUCUCAACUACACUGACUUUGAAUUGGUGUGGCUUGGAUUUGGGGGGGAAAAUUGUUGUGGGCUUUUUGUAUAGUCUGCUCCCCUGAAAUUGAUUAGCGGUACCUUUGUGGAACUGUCUACAGGUGUGAUAAUUAUCUACAUCCUAGACAUCUGCUGGAAUGCUGCUUUCUAAACCUUACUUGUAUUGACAAUCUUGACCUCAAAUCAGGUAGGACUACCCGCUGAACUUAAGCAUAUCAAUAAGCGGAGGA
RNAcentral lists this unclassified non-coding RNA (377 nucleotides) under soil metagenome. RNAcentral's name for it is "partial contains 5.8S ribosomal RNA, internal transcribed spacer 2, and large subunit ribosomal RNA". The stretch from base 1 to 120 matches the Rfam family "5.8S ribosomal RNA", at positions 35 to 154 of the family's 154-position model. The record is from RNAcentral.